Molecule: ribosomal RNA, 423 nt
Filed under: uncultured prokaryote
Description: bacterial SSU rRNA
Rfam family: Bacterial small subunit ribosomal RNA
Source: RNAcentral
UGAGGAAUAUUGGUCAAUGGGCGCAAGCCUGAACCAGCCAUCCCGCGUGCAGGAAGACGGCCCUAUGGGUUGUAAACUGCUUUUCCAGGGGGAGAAACUUGCGCACGUGUUGCGCAAUUGACGGUACCCUGGGAAUAAGCAUCGGCUAACUCCGUGCAAGCAGCCGAGGUAAUACGGAGGAUGCGAGCGUUAUCCGGAUUCAUUGGGUUUAAAGGGUGCGUAGGCGGACUAUUAAGUCAGUGGUUAAAUCCUGCAGCUUAACUGCAGAACUGCCAUUGAUACUUAUAGCCUUGAGUUUGGUUAAGGUAGGCGGAAUGUGUAAUGUAGCGGUGAAAUGCUUAGAUAUUACACAGAACACCAAUUGCGUAGGCAGCUUACUGAGCCGACACUGACGCUGAGGCACGAAAGCGUGGGGAUCGAACA